GGGAGUGUAGCUCAGUGGUAGAGUACUUAUCUAACACGUGUGAAAUCUUGGCUUCCAUAACCAACAAUGCCA
This 72-nucleotide transfer RNA is filed under the name Heterocephalus glaber (naked mole-rat). It matches the Rfam family "tRNA". Rfam says of the family: Transfer RNA (tRNA) molecules are approximately 80 nucleotides in length. The record is from Rfam by way of RNAcentral. Lineage: Eukaryota; Metazoa; Chordata; Mammalia; Rodentia; Bathyergidae.